RNAcentral lists this unclassified non-coding RNA (2296 nucleotides) under Hevea brasiliensis (rubber tree). The record is from RNAcentral. Lineage: Eukaryota; Viridiplantae; Streptophyta; Magnoliopsida; Malpighiales; Euphorbiaceae.
UUGUGGAUGAUACCAUGCAAUCUGCUAUCCAACUCGCUGGACCUCUUGAUGUUGUAGUUGAUACCAAUCAUGUUGAUGUUCAUGUUGAUGAUGCACAGAUUGAUCAACCACUUGACAUUUCCCCUAUUCUUCCUCUUGUUGGUUCCACUGACGAUAGGCAUGGUAAAGGUGCACAACAGUGGCAAAAUACUAUUACUGGAGUGGGUCAAAGAUUCACCAGUGUUCAUGAAUUUCGUGAAUCAUUGCGUAAAUAUGCCAUUGCACAUCAGUUUGCUUUUAGGUAUAAGAAGAAUGAUAGUCACCGUGUGACUGUUAAAUGCAAAGCAGAAGGUUGUCCUUGGAGAAUUCAUGCAUCAAGAUUGUCAACCACUCAACUAAUCUGUAUUAAGAAGAUGAAUCCAACGCAUACAUGUGAAGGGUCUGUAGUGACAACAGGGCAUCAGGCAACUCGAAGCUGGGUGGCUAGCAUCAUCAAGGAAAAGUUGAAAGUUUUUCCAAAUUACAAGCCUAAGGAUAUUGUAAAUGACAUCAAACAAGAGUAUGGGAUCCAGCUAAAUUAUUUUCAGGCAUGGCGUGGAAAAGAGAUUGCAAAGGAACAACUUCAAGGUUCAUAUAAAGAGGCAUAUAAUCAGUUACCCUUGUUCUGUGAAAAGAUAACAGAGACUAAUCCAGGCAGUCUUGCUACUUUCACUACUAAGGAAGACUCGAGUUUCCAGCGCCUGUUUGUCUCAUUCCAUGCAUCAUUAUAUGGUUUUCUUCAAGGUUGUAGGCCUCUCCUUUUCCUUGAUAGUAUACCAUUGAAGUCAAAAUAUCAAGGCACAUUAUUAGCUGCAACAGCUGCAGAUGGGGAUGAUGGUGUAUUUCCUGUGGCAUUUGCUGUAGUAGAUGCAGAAACUGAUGAUAAUUGGCAUUGGUUUUUAUUGCAACUGAAAACUGCACUAUCAACCUCUUGUCCCAUAACAUUUGUGGCAGACAGACUGAAGGGUUUAAAGGAAUCAAUUGUUGAUAUAUUUAAGGGAUCAUACCAUGGCUAUUGCCUUCGGUACUUGACUGAGCAACUUAUUCGGGACUUGAAGGGACAGUUUUCUCACGAGGUGAAGCGGCUCAUGGUUGAGGAUUUGUAUUCUGCUGCUUAUGCACCUAGGCCUGAAGUAUUUCAGAGGUGCAUAGAAAGCAUUAAAAGCAUUUCACUAGAUGCUUAUACUUGGAUCAUACAAAGUGAGCCUCAAAAUUGGGCUAAUGCAUUCUUUCAGGGUACUAGAUAUAACCAUAUGAUGUCUAACUUUGGAGAGAUGUUCUAUAGUUGGGCAUCAGAUGCUCAUGAAUUGCCGAUAACACAGAUGGUUGAUGCAAUACGGGGUAAGGUUAUGGAGUUGAUUUACACACAGCGGGCAGAAUCUGAUCUGUGGAUGACAAGGUUAACACCAUCCAUGGAGGAAAAACUUGAAAAGGAGAGCUUAAAGGCCCCCUCCCUUCAAGUGCUACUGUCUGCUGGUAGCACAUUUGAGGUUCGUGGUGAAUCAGUUGAAGUGGUUGACAUUGAUCGAUGGGAUUGUAGUUGCAAAGGGUGGCAGCUAACUGGUUUACCUUGCUGCCAUGCUGUUGCAGUCAUUAGUUGUAUUGGAAGGAGCCCAUAUGAAUAUUGUUCAAGAUAUUUCACAACUGAGAGCUACAGAUUAACUUAUUCAGAAUCAGUUCAUCCUAUACCAACUGUGGACUGGCCUGUCCCGAAAGAUUCUUCUCAACUUACAGUAACUGUAACCCCUCCUCCAACCCGACGCCCUCCAGGACGACCCACUACAAAGAGAUGUGGACCACAAGAUGUAGCUAAACGUCAGCUCCAGUGCAGUAGGUGCAAGGGUCUUGGACACAACAAAUCCACCUGCAAAGAGCUUUUGUAGAGUGUUAGAAGAGCUUUGUAAAGUUUAAGGCGCUAAUCUGUAAAUGCAACGUUAACGCUCUCAUAUCUCAUCAAGGACCGGAGGCAUCAGGCUGAAACUGAAGGAUACACAAAAACCUGCAAUGUUAUGACAAUAAACCUGAGCCAUGGGAAUCAAUCUUUAGCAUUUUAGGGUAGUUUUUGUGUAGCCAGUGUUCUUUGGUAUGUAUUUUUUACUUGAAUUCAUGCUAUAGCUCGAAUAACAAGCGAUGACCAUGGCAAUAAUGCUAGGGAAGCAUGUUCUAGCUUGAUGUAAACAUAAGAGUACUGGUUCUCAAUAUUUGCCGGUGAUAUGAGGAAAGGCUUUUUCACUUGUCAAUGCAUUUAUAUGUUCUUUAAUGGUAGUGCUAAAACUAA